RNAcentral lists this long non-coding RNA (782 nucleotides) under Androctonus crassicauda. Lineage: Eukaryota; Metazoa; Arthropoda; Arachnida; Scorpiones; Buthidae. The record is from RNAcentral.
AGCGGACAAACUUAAGUCCUUAUUUGAAACAUCUAGUCUUUCUAGAUGUUUAGAAGUGCACAAAGUAUGUUAAAAGUAGAGGUAGUGAAAUUUGUAGAUAUAUCCUUUUGUUAAGAUUCAUACGAAAUACUCGUUUAGAAAUGGAAUGAUCAGAAUGAUCAAACCACCUCUCAGAGCAGUACAUAUUAAUUUACUUGUGCUGGUUCAGGGAGAAAGUACAAGGGGGGGUUAUACCAGUAUGUUUAUGUUAGGAUGGUUAACCAUUGUCCUGUAUGUGUCUGCGUUUUGGUUUACUUAGCUGUGUACAUAGUGUAUAUAAGGGACAAACGUCCAAAUUUACAACAUCUAGCCUUUCUAGAUGUUAAAGAGCUUGCCAGUGUAUGACAAAAAUAACCAAUAAAUACAUUGUGUACGCUUGAUGUUAAAAUUCAUAGGCAAGAUUUCUGAAAACAACUGGCAGAAGUGAAAUUGUUAAAAUCCCCUCUAAGCAUUAUAGAUGCUUAUUAGACUUGUCCACUGGGUUGAUAGAGAAGGGGAAGGGUCCUUGGCUAGCAUGUUCCUGUUGAGAUGAUACUUUGAGACUAUAGCCAUUGUACACAGUGUAUUCAGUGCUACUGUGUGUAUGUAUAGUGGACAAACUUAAAUCCUUAUUUGAAACAUCUAGCCUUUUAGAUGUGUAAAAGUACACAACCUAUUUUGAAAGUAGAGAGUUAAACACCUUUUAAGUUUUGGGGGUUUUUUUUCUGUUAAUUAAUAGGAAUGGUUUUAUUUGGGUAGUGGGG